AUUGAACGCUGGCGGCAUGCCUUACACAUGCAAGUCGAACGGUAACAGGUUAAGCUGACGAGUGGCGACCGGGUGAGUAAUGUAUCGGAACGUGCCCAGUCGUGGGGGAUAACUGCUCGAAAGAGCAGCUAAUACCGCAUACGACCUGAGGGUGAAGGCGGGGGAUCGCAAGACCUCGCGCGAUUGGAGCGGCCGAUAUCAGAUUAGGUAGUUGGUGAGGUAAAGGCUCACCAAGCCGACGAUCUGUAGCUGGUCUGAGAGGACGACCAGCCACACUGGGACUGAGACACGGCCCAGACUCCUACGGGAGGCAGCAGUGGGGAAUUUUGGACAAAGGGCGCAAGCCUGAUCCAGCCAUGCCGCGUGCGGGAAGAAGGCCUUCGGGUUGUAAACCGCUUUUGUCAGGGAAGAAAAGGUUCUGGCUAAUACCUGGGACUCAUGACGGUACCUGAAGAAUAAGCACCGGCUAACUACGUG
RNAcentral lists this ribosomal RNA (477 nucleotides) under uncultured bacterium. Its description in RNAcentral is "partial 16S ribosomal RNA". It matches the Rfam family "Bacterial small subunit ribosomal RNA", at positions 30 to 507 of the family's 1533-position model. The record is from RNAcentral.